CACCACCACCACCUCCAGCGCCAC
Molecule: non-coding RNA, 24 nt
Filed under: Arabidopsis thaliana (thale cress)
Lineage: Eukaryota; Viridiplantae; Streptophyta; Magnoliopsida; Brassicales; Brassicaceae
Source: RNAcentral